Molecule: microRNA, 22 nt
Filed under: Ornithorhynchus anatinus (platypus)
Lineage: Eukaryota; Metazoa; Chordata; Mammalia; Monotremata; Ornithorhynchidae
Description: oan-miR-1421k-5p
Source: miRBase by way of RNAcentral
AACAGGUUACCUGUGGUGCAGU